GAGUUUGAUCAUGGCUCAGAUUGAACGCUGGCGGCAGGCCUAACACAUGCAAGUCGAGCGGUAGCACAGGAGAGCUUGCUCUCUGGGUGACGAGCGGCGGACGGGUGAGUAAUGUCUGGGAAACUGCCUGAUGGAGGGGGAUAACUACUGGAAACGGUAGCUAAUACCGCAUAACCUCGCAAGAGCAAAGAGGGGGACCUUCGGGCCUCUCGCCAUCAGAUGUGCCCAGAUGGGAUUAGCUAGUAGGUGAGGUAAUGGCUCACCUAGGCGACGAUCCCUAGCUGGUCUGAGAGGAUGACCAGCCACACUGGAACUGAGACACGGUCCAGACUCCUACGGGAGGCAGCAGUGGGGAAUAUUGCACAAUGGGCGCAAGCCUGAUGCAGCCAUGCCGCGUGUGUGAAGAAGGCCUUCGGGUUGUAAAGCACUUUCAGCGGGGAGGAAGGCGAUAAGGUUAAUAACCUUGUCGAUUGACGUUACCCGCAGAAGAAGCACCGGCUAACUCCGUGCCAGCAGCCGCGGUAAUACGGAGGGUGCAAGCGUUAAUCGGAAUGACUGGGCGUAAAGCGCACGCAGGCGGUCUGUUAAGUUGGAUGUGAAAUCCCCGGGCUUAACCUGGGAACUGCAUUCAAAACUGACAGGCUAGAGUCUUGUAGAGGGGGGUAGAAUUCCAGGUGUAGCGGUGAAAUGCGUAGAGAUCUGGAGGAAUACCGGUGGCGAAGGCGGCCCCCUGGACAAAGACUGACGCUCAGGUGCGAAAGCGUGGGGAGCAAACAGGAUUAGAUACCCUGGUAGUCCACGCUGUAAACGAUGUCGACUUGGAGGUUGUGCCCUUGAGGCGUGGCUUCCGGAGCUAACGCGUUAAGUCGACCGCCUGGGGAGUACGGCCGCAAGGUUAAAACUCAAAUGAAUUGACGGGGGCCCGCACAAGCGGUGGAGCAUGUGGUUUAAUUCGAUGCAACGCGAAGAACCUUACCUACUCUUGACAUCCAGAGAAUUUGCUAGAGAUAGCUUAGUGCCUUCGGGAACUCUGAGACAGGUGCUGCAUGGCUGUCGUCAGCUCGUGUUGUGAAAUGUUGGGUUAAGUCCCGCAACGAGCGCAACCCUUAUCCUUUGUUGCCAGCGAUUCGGUCGGGAACUCAAAGGAGACUGCCGGUGAUAAACCGGAGGAAGGUGGGGAUGACGUCAAGUCAUCAUGGCCCUUACGAGUAGGGCUACACACGUGCUACAAUGGCGUAUACAAAGAGAAGCGACCUCGCGAGAGUAAGCGGACCUCAUAAAGUACGUCGUAGUCCGGAUUGGAGUCUGCAACUCGACUCCAUGAAGUCGGAAUCGCUAGUAAUCGUAGAUCAGAAUGCUACGGUGAAUACGUUCCCGGGCCUUGUACACACCGCCCGUCACACCAUGGGAGUGGGUUGCAAAAGAAGUAGGUAGCUUAACCUUCGGGAGGGCGCUUACCACUUUGUGAUUCAUGACUGGGGUGAAGUCGUAACAAGGUAACCGUAGGGGAACCUGCGGUUGGAUCACCUCCUUA
This 1534-nucleotide ribosomal RNA is filed under the name Pectobacterium polaris. RNAcentral describes it as "16S ribosomal RNA". It matches the Rfam family "Bacterial small subunit ribosomal RNA". Lineage: Bacteria; Pseudomonadati; Pseudomonadota; Gammaproteobacteria; Enterobacterales; Pectobacteriaceae. The record is from RNAcentral.